This is a non-coding RNA of Schistocerca gregaria, 75 nucleotides long. The record is from the annotation of a RefSeq genome assembly. Lineage: Eukaryota; Metazoa; Arthropoda; Insecta; Orthoptera; Acrididae.
GUCCUCAAUGGCUCAGUUGGAUAGAGCGUCUGCCCUAUAAGCAGGAGAUCCCGGGUUCGGGUCUCGGUGAGGGCA